UGGGGAAUAUUGGGCAAUGGAGGAAACUCUGACCCAGCAACGCCGCGUGAAGGAAGAAGGUCUUCGGAUUGUAAACUUCUGUCGUGAGGGACGAAGAAUGACGGUACCUCACAAGAAAGCCCCGGCUAACUACGUGCCAGCAGCCGCGGUAAUACGUAGGGGGCGAGCGUUGUCCGGAAUGACUGGGCGUAAAGGGAGUGUAGGCGGCUUAAGCAAGUUAUAUGUGAAAGCCCGUGGCUUAACCAUGGAAUUGCAUAUAAAACUGCUUAGCUAGAGUGUGGGAGAGGUAAGUGGAAUUCCUAGUGUAGCGGUGGAAUGCGUAGAGAUUAGGAGGAACACCGGUGGCGAAAGCGGCUUACUGGACCAUAACUGACGCUGAGGCUCGAAAGCGUGGGGAGCA
RNAcentral lists this ribosomal RNA (400 nucleotides) under uncultured bacterium. Its description in RNAcentral is "bacterial SSU rRNA". It matches the Rfam family "Bacterial small subunit ribosomal RNA", at positions 355 to 770 of the family's 1533-position model. The record is from RNAcentral.